UGGGGAAUAUUGCACAAUGGGCGCAAGCCUGAUGCAGCAACGCCGCGUGAACGAUGAAGGUCUUCGGAUCGUAAAGUUCUGUUGCAGGGGAAGAUAAUGACGGUACCCUGUGAGGAAGCCCCGGCUAACUACGUGCCAGCAGCCGCGGUAAUACGUAGGUGGCAAGCGUUGUCCGGAAUUAUUGGGCGUAAAGCGCGCGCAGGUGGUUUAGAAAGUCUGAUGUGAAAGCCCACGGCUCAACCGUGGAGGGUCAUUGGAAACUAAUAGACUUGAGUGCAGGAGAGAAAAGUGGAAUUCCUAGUGUAGCGGUGAAAUGCGUAGAGAUUAGGAGGAACACCGGUGGCGAAAGCGGCUUUUUGGCCUGCAACUGACACUGAGGAGCGAAAGCGUGGGGAGCAAACGGG
This 404-nucleotide ribosomal RNA is filed under the name Verrucomicrobiota bacterium. Its description in RNAcentral is "Verrucomicrobia bacterium partial 16S ribosomal RNA". It matches the Rfam family "Bacterial small subunit ribosomal RNA", at positions 355 to 776 of the family's 1533-position model. Lineage: Bacteria; Pseudomonadati; Verrucomicrobiota. The record is from RNAcentral.